GACGAACGCUGGCGGCGUGCUUAACACAUGCAAGUCGAACGGUAAGGCCCCUUCGGGGGUACACGAGUGGCGAACGGGGGAGUAACACGUGGGUGAUCUGCCCUGCACUUCGGGAUAAGCCUGGGAAACUGGGUCUAAUACCGGAUAGGACUCCGGACUGCAUGGUCUGGGGCGGAAAGCUUUUGCGGUGUGGGAUGGGCCCGCGGCCUAUCAGCUUGUUGGUGGGGUGAUGGCCUACCAAGGCGACGACGGGUAGCCGGCCUGAGAGGGUGACCGGCCACACUGGGACUGAGAUACGGCCCAGACUCCUACGGGAGGCAGCAGUGGGGAAUACUGCACAAUGGGCGCAAGCCUGAUGCAGCGACGCCGCGUGAGGGAUGACGGCCUUCGGGUUGUAAACCUCUUUCAGCAUCGACGAAGCGAAAGUGACGGUAGGUGCAGAAGAAGGACCGGCCAACUACGUGCCAGCCGCCGCGGAUA
This 480-nucleotide ribosomal RNA is filed under the name uncultured bacterium. RNAcentral describes it as "partial 16S ribosomal RNA". It matches the Rfam family "Bacterial small subunit ribosomal RNA", at positions 28 to 523 of the family's 1533-position model. The record is from RNAcentral.